This is an RNA transcript of Gadus chalcogrammus (walleye pollock), 12807 nucleotides long. RefSeq lists it as uncharacterized. NCBI's taxonomy places the organism in Eukaryota, Metazoa, Chordata, Actinopteri, Gadiformes, Gadidae. The transcript is spliced from 5 exons. The record is from RefSeq and is a predicted model, not a curated record.
GAGCAAAACUUCAACGUUUUCAAAACUCUAAUGUCUAGCUUAUUUCAUUGUUUGCUUGUGACCGCAACGGACGCUGUCGCAUGUAAUGCGUCCCUCUGCAGUCACAGCCCACUGAGGAGGACAAAGUCGAAGAGGAGUCGGGGAGUAACGGAAUGAGAACGACUCGGAUUGAAACAGAUUGCACGCUUUUCCUCUUUAAUGCCAGCGACCAAACCCGACUACAUUCUACAAGGGCAUAAGGAUUUCAACAUUCCUGGACACACGAUCAAGGCAAAAUGGAUACCACUCUUUGGAUGUAUGUUCAGCAAAAUAAUCAAGUCCAGCAAAAUUCACAACAGCAUCAACAAUUCUGGAGUCAGGCAGGCUACUCAAAUACUUACCCAAAAUAUGCAGAGGUCAAUGACUCACAAAGUGCUCAGUUCAAUCCUGGCUAUGGUCAGCAAACCACAAUAACUUAUCAGCAGUUGACAACAAACCCAGGGUAUAAACCCCUUCAGAAUAAUUAUGUAAAUGGGAACUCAAACCAAAAGACUGCAUAUGAUGAUGCACAGACAAGAAACUUUCCCCGUCAAUGGCAAGUAAGUGCAUGUCAAAUGACCACUCAGCAAGAUCCAACCUUUCCUGGGAACUGGUCAAACCAGAGACAACCAAAGAUGACGGAACAGACGGAAACAUACCCAUACCAAAACAUGCAAAACAGUGUUGGUAAUCACAAUUUAAUGCCACUGAAAUUUAAUUACCUUCCAGAAAAUGUUAAGAAAACAGUGCCACAUAAUAGAGGAGGGCACAGGGAGUCAAAUACAGAAUUAACAUCUACAUUCCGAUGGAAACUCCCUGCCACACAUGGCAAGCAAGUGGAAGCAACAAGAAAGAAAGAAGGUGCAAGAAAGAACCAAACUCAAACCCCCUAUACAGCAUCAACACGAAUGGCUUCACCACGUUUUACUAUGCCAAGAAAACCAAUGCCUCCCCUUGAUACAACAUUCAUCUCAAGUGUACAACUUCCUGUGUCGCAAACACAUAUGCAACUUCAGAGUGGUGCCGGGGCGGCCCCUGCUUUCAGUAACUCUCCUGUAUUCAGGGCCCCACCUCCGUAUACCAGCUGUCUUUCUCGUGUCAAAAAUGUUGAACUACCUCAAGCCACUCAUCUGAUGAAUCCAAACAACCCGGGCAGAAACCCACCCCCUAGCUAUUCUUGCCAAAAGGCUGUGGCGGUUGUACAACCACUGUUGCAAAAAAACACCCAAGUACCUGCUAAAAAGAGCUGCCCUGAGAGGAUGGGUCGCCAGAAAGAUACCUCAAUAGAUGGUUGUGUUGACAACAUCCAAAUAGACGGCAACACAUUACCACAUCUAUUUCAACCUUUGCCUGAAUCUGACGGUUCAGAAAAAGACGGUUCAGGCUCUGACCAAAAACACCCACCAAAUGCCAACAUAGAGCCUACCAAUGAUGGGACAGUGACCCCUUCACUGCUACCAAAAGGAAAUGUGAAGGAGUCUGAAGCUCAUCAAUCAGUGACCCUGGAUUCAAGCCACGGUAAAGAAAUCCCAAAAAGUGGGGUUGAAGAGUCUGAAACGGAUGAUGUUGGGCUGUUGAGCGUAGUUCCUGUAAGGACAUGGACACAUAAACAAUUGACUGCUUUAGUUGAAAUUACUACCGGAAUUGAAAUGAUCAAACCUUGUCAUUCAAAUGCGGUUGUAGACCAGUUAAUAAAACACCUAUGGGAUAAUGACCCGAAAAAAGCAUUGAGUCUGAUCAAAUCAAACUAUUACAAAGAGCUAAUGACUGGGGUGAUCGACUUUUGCAAGGACACACACGACUCGACUAUACUGUCACACAUAGAUAGCAAAAACUGGGAUAGGGUUAAAGAAAAGUGCACUGUACUUGAAGACGAUGGUGUCCAUUUUGAGUCUCCUUAUGUGUCCCCAUGGUUGAAUGUUAACAGGCAGCUGGAUGACAUUGAUAACGAGUUUGGCUUCCCCUCGUCGUUGAAGAAUGGUGAAAGCAAAUGCAACACUGAGACGAAUCCAAUGGAGACAAAAUGUGUAAUUCCUGUGGAUAUUGUGAAGGAAAUGGCAAUUGAAAAUGUGCCUCUAAUUGCACCUGCUCUAGAUGUUGUAGAGGCAGCUAAGUCAAUUCUCCAAACCAAAUGUACCCUAUCCAUAGUUCCUGAUGAAGCAUUAACAGUGGACCUGAAUGAUCCAUUGGACCUCCUUGAAAUAGAAACAAUGCAUCCUGAUCAGGCCCGGAUCGUCUUUGAGCAACUGAAAAAUGGGUCUAGUUUGAUUGAGUUCAAAUCCAAUGAGUUUUCAACAACUGAGGAACGGACUAGUAUGGAGGAGUUUUGCUGCAUCAAUAGGUGGAUAGAAAAGAUUUUAGGGAAAGAACCUUCAUUCGAGUGCUCGUGCAAGUCACUGUCAGAAACCAACAAGCCCUGUGUCAUUUCGACAGGUGACUUGGAACCCAGUGAGGAGGAGAAUAUUAUUGAAGUGUCUCUGAAUCCUAUGCGUUCAAAUUCAACGAAGGGGAGCAAAACCGUUGACUUGACCAAACAAUUUGAGGUGCCACAAAAAGGGUAUGACAAUACGCCUAUUACUCCUCCCUCGACCAUGGACUUUAAUGAGGAAGACGAGAUUAUUAAUAUCCUGAGGAGCAUCAAAGGAUCCAUCUCAACAACAGCUCUUGAAGAUAAUUUCAAUAAAGAGUUGAAGCCUGUACGCACAGGAGAGACACUAAAUAUUGACCCAAAACAAGCAGAAGAUCAUGAUGAAGAUCAUACAGCUGUGUGCGCUAAGCAUCCCAUCGCAGAAUCAAGUGAAGACCAUACGUCUACACCAAAGGCUAUACUGACUAUUGCACAGAAACAAUCAAACGGCGACAAACAUGAUUUGAAGUCCAUUGGUUCACAUCUCACAGCUGGUCCAAACAGGCUCUCUCCUACAGUGGACCAAAAGGAUGCCUGUCCUCAAAGCCUUAAAAUGAGACUUGGGCUCAGUAGAAAACGUAGAAGGACAAUAGGAAAGAUAUUGCCAUUUGAAGAGCCGGUCACAUCUGUCUAUCAGCCUGCUAUUAAAGAAACCUCAAACGAUUUAAUCAAGGAAAAGGUUGUUGCUGAUGACUCCACAACUGCUGCAGAAAAGACUGUGAAACUUGCCUUAUUUGGCAGCACAGAACAUAGGAGUGGUGUUUCAGGACCCCGCGGAAAGAGUCACUCUUCGAGUCAGUGGUAUUCAGGACUUCCGCAUCCACCUCCAUCUGUCGUUACGCUGACGAUUUGUUCAGUCAGAGACCGAAUUUGUGAGGAAUGGAGAAACAGUUAUCUACCUAUAACAAUAAAAAAUGGUAAAAGCAGAACCAUUAGGUUGAUGGAUAUCCAUCAGAACUCUAACUCGGCCACCAAUGCUCCUGUAGAGGCUGAACUCAUAGACAUGGAGAGGCUUCCCGCUUCCCCUGAGCAAACCUUUCCCCUAGGAUCUGGCAAGAAACGUGGAAGGAGGAAGGCCCAUGCAGAAGUCCUCCCACUUGAAACAACACAAAUGCCAAACAAUAGUGUGACAAAGAAAUGGCUAGUUAAUAGUAGAAGUAUAUCUAAAACACUAAAAGUUCCUGACAUGCGGCGGAAGGAGAACCGAGGAUUGAGGUUAGGUCUGCUUCGCCACCACUUGGAAAUCCAAGCUGGACCCAGACGCCGAAAGGACAAGAGAGCUUCUGCAUUGGAUACCUCCAAAAGUGCUGCUAUGACCAAUGGUUUGAAGACCACCAUCCAAAGAUCAAUAGUGAAAAGACCGAAAACUGCAAUUAUCUGACUUAUUGUCUACAAGUGCCGCACAUUGGAACUUCAAAACAAGUACCAGAAAUCUGGAUGGGCUCGUAUUCCAGAUAAGAAGCACGGUCUUCUCACGUCCUCUAAUGUCGCCCUGCAGUGCAAGUCCACCUUCCAAGAGUCUCAGAAGACAAAUGCCAAAAGGAAAAGUCUGGAAUAUUGUGACUGAUUUGGGGUGAAUAAAAGUAUUAAAAAGGUUUCUUUCUCAUGGAUAUGUUAGGCAUUUGUUACCGUGUUUGCUUUGAAGGACACAUUUAUUUUUCUAGCGACAUUGUGGAUAUUUCAAAUUUGUAUUUUUCUCAUUGUUUUUUACAUCUUUUUUGCAUGCAAAAUAUGCAAUAUUGAUAUAUUGCUAAUUAAUAUUGAAUGUAUGUUGUGCACAAUUGCAAUAAAUCCUUGUUUUUGCUAUGACCAUCUUUCUAUUUAUUGUUUUCUUAUUUUAUUAACCAAACCAGCCCAGAGUAUAGCAUAUCUGCAAUCUGGAGGGACAACUUCAUACAAGGAACUAUAUGAGGAUGUAUUUUAUCAGUGGAUCGCCCAGGAAGUCUUGGAAUUCCAAACAUACACCAGUGAAGGUUAUUGUAGGGAAGUUAUGCGAGAAUUUGACUAUACUUUAUAGUAAAUAUAACCAGAAUAUACUUAACAUAUAGAUUAAAACUUUAUUAAUCCCAUGGAGGGGGAAUUCCUUUAGUUACAGCAGCCCAGCAGCAGUGGAAGACAGGAUAUAAAAUACAUAAAAAUACAUGAGUGCUAAGGAAAACAUAAAUAGAUGCUAUAGUAAGGACUAACGGAAUAGACCGUCUAAAUGACGAAGAGGCCCAGUAAUGCAAUGUUAAACGGUGCCCAGUGAUCAAGUAUAUACACAUACACAUGCAUAUAUGCACAAAUACAUAAAUGCAUGCAUGCAUACACAAAACACAAACAUACAUCAGGCACUGUUGUUCAGCCUAAUGGCUGCCGGCACAAAGUCUUACACCUGGGGGAAAUGAAUCAGUGGCUGAAGGGGCUCCCCAUCUGCCAAAGUUCAUAGAGGGGAUGGGAGGGGUUGCCCAGGAUGGACAUGAAUUUGUCCCUCCUCCUCUGCCUCCAGACUGUGCAACUGUAGCCCAACAACAGAGAUGGUCUUCCUCGUCAGCUUUUUAGUCUGUUGGUCUCUCCAGUCUUGUGACCACCUCCACAGCAUACCCCAGCAAAGAACCAGUUUCCCGAAGAUCUUCAUGACAUGUUGGGGAAGAAUGUAUUUAUGUACUUUCAUAAGUAAAAUCAAUCCGGUCGUAAAAGCUAUGCUGUAGCAAUAUCUAUGUUUGUAUGUCAUGAUAGUAACAAUACUUAUCGGUGAUUUUAAUUUUUGCAAUGCUGUAAGGUUAGCUCUAAACUCAUAGAAUAGCCAGGCCUUAGAAGGCCCAUUUGCUCUAGCAAUGUGAGAAAGGUUAUUUUUAGACAAAGAGGUUGUGAGAUGAGUGUGGGGAUUGAUGCAAGAUACAAGAUACAAUACAAGAUGUUUAUUGCUAUAUACACAAUGGAAACAUAGUUUGCACUGGGCAAUGAAAUUCUAAAUUUGCAAGUUCCCUUCACACAAAAUAUACUUAAAAUAAAGUAGAUAAAUAAACUAAACUACAAAAAAAAAUCUCUACAAAGGCCAGAAUUUAGUUAAACAAAAACAGUUAAAUAUAAUUGAAUAUAAAGUGCUGUUUAGCAUGUGCAAUGUUCGCAUACAGCAGAAGGCACUGAAAGACAUUGAAAUAUAAGAAGUUAGAAUACAUACAUUGGAUAUUGAAUAUUAUUAUUAGAUAAGCACAUAGUGCAAAUGUAGUUCACAGUUGAUAAGAAAUAUAGUUCACAGUAUUGAAUAUAGUGCAAAGACAGUGUUUGAUAGAGUAAUUCAGCAGCCUGAUGGCCUGUGGAUAAAAACAGUUUUUAAGUCUGGUUGUUCUGGCUUUCACGCUCCUGUAGCGUCUGCCAGGUGGAAGCAGUGUGUGCUGGGGGUGUGUAGUGUCCUUGGUGAUGUUGUUUUUCUCUUUGUGAUUCGGUUGUUGUAAAUGUCCUGAAGUGAUGGGGGGGGCUGCUCCACAGAUGUAUUGUGCAGUUUUAAUCACACGUUGGAGAGCCUUUCUUUCCUGUACCGUGCAGUUCCCAAACCACACUGUGAUGGAGUUGGUCAGGAGGCUCUCCACUGUACACCUGUAGAAGUUGCUCAUAUAAUAUAUAUUAUAACGGCCAAAAGCUGUGUGAGCCGAUAUUAUGAAUCUCAAACGACCGCGUUGGGUUCUCAGACGUUCUUGGUUCUUCAACGUCCUCAUCAAUGUGAAGUAGACCGCGACAAGGAGGAGAAAGGGAUCGUUGCCGGGCAGCGCUUAGGCACCUCCGCCUCCGGCGGUGGUCCCUCAGCGGGUCUCAAGCUGGAGACAUUCGCCGCCAACAAUCCCUUUCUCCUCCAUGUCGUGGUUCAUGUUCUUGAGGGAGUCAAAGCCAAAGUUCCUUCCCCCCAAUUCAUUCUCAACCUUGGCUGAGAUAACCCCCAAUACGAGUAUCGUUGUAGAAAUACCAGAGACGAGAGUCCGACAGAACGGUUAUCCAAAUAACAAGGAAGUGUACAACAGUUGCGUUACAGUCCUGGAGCUCUAUAUCUAAAUAACAUCAUAUAAUACAUAGAAAUCUAUAUCAUUUAAUACAUAUUAUCACGGCCAAAAGCUGUGUGCGCCUCCAGACGAUAUAAUGAAUCACAAACGACUUUGUCGGGUUCUGCGACGUCUCUGGUUCUUCCACUUUCACAUCAACCUGAAGUCGACUGAACCGCGCGCUGCCUGCUGCCGGCUGCCCGCUGCCGGGCGAUGGUGCCUCGCGGCAACAGGCGGCAUGUCGCAGUUCAUGUACUUCAGCCAGUCUAAGCCAAAGUUCCUUUCCCCCAAUUCCUUCUCAACCAUGGCUCAGUUGACCCCCACAACAGUCUCGUUGUGGAAAUACAAGACACGUCAAAGAACCGACAAGAAACACUUGCGUUACAGUGUGUGUAUUCACACACUGUAACACACACACACACACACACACACACACACACACACACACACACACACACACACACACACACACACACACACACACACACACACACAUGUGGCGCUCACACGGUCGAGUCUCAUUGGCGGGCCAACGUCUCUGGGCGGGCCAGGCAGAGUAAGGGGAGGAGCUGAGAUUCCUGAUGACGUCAUGAAUACAGACAUUCCAUCCACAAAGCUAGGGGAACUCAUAUUUACGUUAGAAAACAUCAUAAAGUGAGAUUUUCAUGUCAUGGGACCUUUAAGAAGUACAGACGCUGCUGAGACUUCUUGGCAAUGUGCUGGGUGUUGUGAGACCAGGAGAGGUCCUCGCUGAUGUGGGUGCAGAGGAAUUUAAAGGUUUUCACCCUCUCUACCUGAGUCUCGCCGAGGUGUAAUGGAUUGUGCUGGUCUCUCCUCCUCCUCGGGUUGAUAAUCAACUCCUUAGUCUUCUCUGUGUUUAAGGAGAGAUUAUAUGUGUGGCACCAGGACACCAGCUGAGCCAUCUCCCCCCUGUAGUCUAUCUCCACCCUACCAGUGAUCAGUCCGAUAACUGUUGUGUUGUGGUAGAAAUUAAUGAUUAUAUUUUAUGGUAAACUAUGAUUAUUAUUAGGCCUGUAUAUUUAAUGGUAGAAAGCAUUUAAAGCGUCCUGGAUUCUUAUCCAGGGCUGGUCACGAGGCCUGGGAGUCUUGGGUCAGAGCAGGGGUUAGGGCCCAACCCCCCAGGAGCAGGAAGCUACUGAGACAAUGCAUGCUGACUCCACUUCCUGGGUCCUAGACUAUCUCGGUGACACCUAAAACAAGAAACUGCUGAGUACUGUGCAUAAGGAGAGGCUGGAAUCUGUUGACGAGAAGUGACUCUGCAGACCCACCCGGCUGUUAUCGUUGUUGUUGCUCUUCACGAUAAAGUAUUUUGUUAAUACUUGCUCCGGACCCCUCGAUUUCUUUUACUCUCUCUUAAAUUAGUCGAAGUGUUUUAUAUCUCGGUUAAAAUACACUACAGUGUCAUCCGCAAACUUGAUGAUUGUGGUGUUGCGCUGGGUGGAGGCACUGUCGUAGGGGAAGAGGGUGUACAGCAGAGGACUCAGCACACAGCCCUGGGGGGUCCCUGUGCUCACCGUCCUUGUGCCCGAUGUCCGGGUACCAACUCUGACUGUCUGGGGUCUGUCUGUAAGGAAAUCCAGAACUCUGCUGCAGAGGGAAGGUGUUGGUCCGAGGAUGAGGAGAUUCUCAGCCAGUCUGGUUGGGAGGACCGUGUUGAAUGCUGAGCUGCAGUCGAUAAACAGCAUUCGAACAUACGUGUCCUUGUUCUCCAGAUGUGUGAGAGCUGUGUGGAUGGUGGUGUUUACUGCGUCAUCAGUGGGCUGGUUCCGACAGUACGCAAAUUAGGGAGUCCAGGGUGUCCGGGAUGGUCUUUUUAAUAUGGGACAUGAUAAUCUUCUCAAAACACUUCAUCACAAUUGAAGUGAGUGCGAUGGGAAGGUAGUAAUUCAAGCAGGUUAUGGUGUUUUUCUUAGGGAGGGGCACAAGGGUGGUGUUCUUGAAGCAGGUGGGCACAGAAUAUUGUGAGAGGGACAGAUUGCAAAUAUCUGUUAGCACCUCAGCCAGCUCCGCUGAACAGACCCUCAGUGCACGGCCCGGGAUGUUGUCAGGGCCUGCUGCUUUCCGGGGUUUCGUUCUCCUCAGCGCCCUGCACACCUCAGCUGAUGUCACCGUGAGUGAAGAGCUCUGUGCUGCCUCUGUUGGUAGAAUCCCUCUGUUGGUAUUGAGGUUGUCAAAGCGAGCGUAGAACUAAUCUGGCAGUGUGCUUUUUUGUAGCCUUCAGCGUCACCAGAGGCAAAUGCAGUGGAGAGGGCACGCAGCAUGGACCGUACAUCACAGUUAAUCCAGGGGUUUUGGUUUGGGUUUGCAGCACUUAGUGGGGACAAUAUUGUCUAUGCAUGUGCAGAUGUAGCCAGUUACCACAGUACAGUCCUCUCUCACAGCAGCAGUCUUAAACAAAUCCCAGUCAGGACUGUUAAAGCAGUCCUGUAGCACAAGAUCAGUCUCCUCGUUCCAUACUUUAACAGUUUUACUUACUGGAGGGGCCUGUUUGAGGAGCUGCCAGUAAAAUGGGUAGAGGAACACGGAGAUGUGGUCUGAAGUGGGUGGCAGCCUUGAUGGCAUACAAGGUCGAAUAACAACUUUGUUUAAGGGAGUGUUCCAGUUCCGGAAUUUCCUUCUUGAUAAGGAACCAGCUGCAUCUCAGGCCAGGUUCAUGGACAGGGGAGAAGAACAGCCAGGUCAGGUCCAGAAGUAGAUACUCUCGUUCACUCCAAUACAAGUGGGGAGGAGGAAUGUGUCUUCGCAAUUUUUUUUGUUGCUGGUAGAUAUGUAAGCACUUAUUUGUACAUAAGUUAUUGAUUGCAUUUUUCGUAGAGCUGUAGCGACGCGUCGAUGACGUCGACGUGUCGACGUCAAAAAUUCGUCGACGUCAAAUUUCUCCGUCGACAAUUUUCGACGGAGAAAUGGACGAAAGUCACAAUAAAGGAAAAUGUCCGCGCACGAAAUCAUCAAAGGUAUGGAAAUACUUCAAGUUAAGUCCUAAACGGAAAGGUGUUGUGAUUUGCACUCUUUGCCAAAUGGAGUUGGCAUAUCACAAGAGCACGACAGCAAUGUUGGAGCAUCUCAAACGAGAAAGUAUCUCGUGCGCAUGAGAAAGUAUCUCGUGCGCACGAGAAAGUAUCUCAUGAGCACGGGGAAAUAUCGUGCGCAUAUCACUGGCAGUAUGUGUGUGUGUGUGUGUGUGUGUAUGUGUGUGUGUGUGUGUGUGUGUGUGUCGUCAGCGAGUAGGUGGACGAGCGAGGAGAGCGAGCGAUAGCGUGCAUGUCAGUCUAGUGAAGUCAUGAACGAGUCCGGUUGUGUGUAAGAAUAAAGUACCCAGCCUGUCAAGAAUCGGUGGCCGCUUCAUUCCAUCAUAUUCCGACCUAUAAGCAGACUCACUGUCGGUCAAAGUGAAGGGUCAUGCCCCCGAGAGAGCAUCGGCCCUGGAGGGAACGUAUCACCUGUGCUCCUUGGUCUGGGAGCCGACAGCAGGAAAGAUGUAACUAACCAUCUCGUAGUUGGAGGCGGAGCGCAAGAGAGUAUACGCACACAUUUUUUUCAUGUCCCUUUACGGGUUCCGUAUUAAAUAAAGUAUAUUAUUAAGAAUUUUUUGGUAUUUAUUUGAGAUACAGAUUAUGGUUUUUAUUAAUCGAGCAACAGAAAAAUAGAUAAUCGUCCAAUUAGUCAUUAGAUUAGUCGACUAAUCGAUAAAAUAAUCGCCAGAUGAAUCGUUUAAUAAAUAAUCGUUUACCCCCAGCCUUAAUUUUUCGUAACUAGUUAGUUGGAAGAAAUAUGUUUCUUAAGCAAUAACAUUGAACUGUAUUUUUUCUAGGCCUACAUUCAUUUACUAUGUUGUUGGUGUCAUAUGGAGCAAUCAUUCAUAUUUAAAGUCCAAAGAUCAUUAAAGUUAUAUCUAUUUUUAUUUGAACUGCCUGUAUGUCCUCUUGAUUAUAAUAUUACAGUGUGUACCUUGGUUAUCAGCUAUCAUAAAAUGGUGUCCAAAUGGCUGCAUGUGUAAGAAAUAGGACUUGAACAAAAAGUGUUACAAUAAGAAAGCUUUUAUUUCAAAAAUCCUCCCACCCCCAAUUUUAACAGAACGUUUUUUUUUUUUUUUUUUACUUUGGGGGGACAGCUACAUAGAACGUGGAGAGGAGAGUAAGCAUGUUUUUUUUUACAUGUUCUGACUGUCUGAGUUGUGCCUGAACGCGUUCAUGAACUCGUUCAUAUUUUGGGCGAACGUGAACUGAACGUACUGUAUUACUGCCUGAUGAACGUUACUGUGAACUUGUUCAUUCUGGUGUCUGUGAACAGCACGCUCACUAGGUUUAACUUCAUUCAAUAGGGGGGUUAUUUGUUUAUCAACACAGUGGAUGCGCGUUAAGAACGCUGUGUUGUUUGACCGGUAGCCAUGGUUUUCUCUGUGUGGUUAAUUUGCAGUUGCAGUGUUGUCAGCUUACUGUUAUAUUAAACUGUAAUCAGAAAACGCGGUUAUAUGCUAUAGACCCUAGAGUAUCUGUGGUAUAAAGGCUGAGACGAAUUUCAAAUUAUAAAUAUGUACAAUCCAUAACGUUAGCCCUCUGGCUCAUAGCUCAGCGGACUAGAAUACCUCCUAGAAUCAAUGCUUGUUGGCCGGAAUCGGAAAGGGGGGCUGUUUACGUUUGGUUUUAGUCUUUUCACUCGGUUCUCCGUCUCAACAGCAGGGCUAGAGCCGAGCAAAAAGACUACAACCAAACAUGAACACCUCCCCUUUCCGUUUCCGGCCAACGAGCAAUGAGCCUUCGAGCAAUGAGCCCACGUAUUUAUGUUUUUUGCAUGUUGUGACUGUCUGAGUUUGUGAUGUGGGUCUAUGGUCUCGUAUUUAUGUACAUGUUUCACGUAUUUAUGUUUUUUACAUGUUGUGACUGUCUGAGUUUGUGAUGUGAGUCUAUGGUCUAGUGGUCUAUGGUCCAGUAUUUAUAUGCAUGUUUCGUGUAUUUAUAUGUUUUUUACAUGUUGUGACUGUCUGAGUUUGUGAUGUGAAUCUAUGGUCUCGUAUUUAUCUGCAUGUUUCAUAUAUUUAUAUGUUUUUUUCAUGUUGUGACUGUCUGAGUUUGUGAUGUGAGUCUUUGUUCUCCUACUCUUGGCCUGCACCUUGACGUGGUGAGUGGGCUUUAAACUAAGACAGGCCUUUUAUAUGUUUUUGAUUGUUACUGAUUGUUUUUCUCACAGUUUAUCUUAUUAAUGACACUGAGCCUUAAUUAAACCCCUUCUCUUCUGUUUGCAGAAACUGGAAACUUCAGAGUAUAUUUUAUCUUAAGUUAGAAAAUCGUUUUUGUUUCCUCAUCAGAUGCCAGUCCAUCAAGCUCCUCUACUUGUCUGCCGUGCCACCAUCAUGCCUCAUGCAUCACCUCUCAGCGCCCUGCCCAGCUGAAUCUUAUUCUGUUACUCAAGCACUUUCCAGCUCUUUCACAAAAGUGACAAACAGGCUCCACCCAAGUGUUUUUAAUCUUUUAUUAAUUAUACAUGUAAGGUGUGCUUAAUUGUCCUGAAAAGUUCCCAUCAAUAAAAUGCAUUUUAUUAUCAUUAUUAUUAAUAUUACAUUAUGGCUCCAUCAAAAGCAAUGUACACCUGCCAUUUACCGUUAUCAUUUAUACUAUCCUAGACAUCUUUAAACGUAUUGACAUAGGACUACAGUAGGCCUGAAUUCCUCUGAAUGUUGAAAUAAAAAAAAUUCCCACAAUUGUAUUUCUGCAUUCAGACCCCUGUCCAUCAUACUCCUGUUGUUGUGUUCCUGCACACCUGACUGUCUCCUCCAUCAAUUGCUGCCACAGCCCUCUCACUGUACAAUAUUUCAUGUUAAAUACGUUUCAGGAUCAAGUUUGAGAUUCAGUUUCAGUAUUAUUUGUUUUUUAAACCUGACGUGGGGCUGCAACCAUCAUAUCUGUCUUAUUUAUGGCACCCACACAUAAUAGGUCUCUGAUACCAUGUGGGGUCAUUUCAGACUCAUUUGCUUCCUAACAUCUUGACUGAAUCAGUGAGUUCCCUGGGUACACCAGCUGUUGGGUCUGUGUAUUUGGCAUUUGAUUCUCGUUUCAGAAACAGAAAUAUAUAUUGUUUUAAAAUACAAAAAGGUAUAUACAAGGUGUUUUUCUUAUAAAGUCAAAAGGGGCAAACUAAUCAAAAAUAAUAAUUGUUAAACAUAUAGAGAAUCAUCGAGGGGUUUAGUAACUUAUACUUCCAUGGUCGGUAAACAAUGCGACUGCGAUCGCUCAGACCUCUCGCUUCUGAUGCUACAAUGCCAGCAAUGCAAAAAAACAAGAAUAUUUCUGCAUCCGGUACAACAUAAACUAGGGCGUGGCUAGGCUACCAUGAUGCAGAAGCAUAUCU